RNAcentral lists this non-coding RNA (95 nucleotides) under human gut metagenome. Its description in RNAcentral is "yjdF RNA". It matches the Rfam family "azaaromatic riboswitch aptamer (yjdF RNA)", at positions 6 to 91 of the family's 101-position model. The record is from RNAcentral.
GCGGGAUAAAAACACAGUCCGGUCGGUAGUCCGGGCGCUGCCGGGGGAGAUCCCGGCCAGUCAGUAACCUGCCUCCUUUGGUUGUCCGUUCCCGC